CCGUGUUUUUUUUUAUCACCUCAAUUAGCCAAUCAAGCAAUUGUACCUAAUAUGAAUACUAUAAGAUAGCAGUUCAGUUAAACCUCAAUAUAGGAGGAAAAACAACUCAGUAGUGUCAAGUAAACCGUAGGUUAAUUGUAGGAAGAAAUCAAAUAAUCCAGCAAUCAUGAAGCGAAUAGUUUGUGCUCGGAAAUCUACUUUGAAGUUGAUGGCUGCAUUGAAAACAGCCGGAGAAAAGCAUCUAUCAUCUUCAAAGGAGGAUAAUCUUGCACAAGAAUUGGAGUCCGAGUACAAUCAGCUUGUCGAUCAUUACGAGAAAGUAAGUACCGAGAUUUCAAAACAUAUCGUCCUUCCCCUCACGAAAGAAUGUAACCCCAUUUCAAUGUUGCCAAAUAUCCACCCGCAAAUUGCAUAUUAAUCAGGAGGAUCUUGCGCAAUGGUGUUGUUGCAUAUCGACGGUGAAACUACCAAACCACGUAUCUCGGUUUGCGACGUCGCAGACUUCCUGUCAUACUUUAUUUUUUAAAUGAAAAACUAUUUAACGUCCAGUCUCGAAAAUUUCUGUGAUUUUUCCUCUUCGUGUGAAGAAAAUUCUGUGAAAAUUUCAAGGAAUGAUAUUGAUUUGGUCUACUUCAAAAAAGUAAAAUGCGAGCGUAGAUUUUUAAACACCGCAAACGAGAUACGUGGUUUGGUAGUUUCACCGUCGAUAUCGUCCUUCCCCUCACGAAAGAAUGUAACUCCAUUUCAAUGUUGCCAAUAAUCCACCCGCAAAUUGCAUAUUAAUCAGGAGGAUCUUGGGCAAUGGUGUUGUUGCAUAUCGACGGUGGAACUACCAAACCACGUAUCUCGGUUUGCGACGUUGCAGACUUCCUGUCAUACUUUAUUUUUUAAAUGAAAAACUACUUAACGUCCAGUCUUGAAAAUUUCUGUGAUUUUUCCUCUUCGUGUGGAGGAAACUCUGUGAAAAUUUCAAGGAAUGAUAUUGAUUUGGUCUAUUUCAAAAAAUAAAAUGCGAGAGUAGAUUUUAAACACCGCAAACGAGAUACGUGGUUUGGUAGUUUCACCGUCGAUAUAUGAGGAAUUUGCGAUUUGACUGUUGAUUCUUAUGUAAAAGUUCGCGAGCAACACUAUGGUGCCACUGGUUUUCUCUGAAAUCAACUCCCAAGCUCAUAAAAAGCUCUCAAGUUGUGCAAUGGAUAAUUUGCAGGUGUCUGAAAUUUGAUAAAUUUUGUGUUUAAGUGAAAACUACUGAGUGAAGUGAACACGAGGAUACCCUU
Molecule: long non-coding RNA, 1277 nt
Filed under: Bemisia tabaci
Lineage: Eukaryota; Metazoa; Arthropoda; Insecta; Hemiptera; Aleyrodidae
Description: lncRNA ENSSSA3NGG000525
Source: RNAcentral